GGGACCCCUGACUCUUGGUGCUCGAGACCGGCUGUCGAACCCUUUCGACGGGCCAGCCAUCGACCUCUCGAGACUGUUGUGGGCGCGUACCUUGGCUUACGAAACAAGGAAGCUGUCGUGCCGGUUCGUCUUUCUGCCCGUUGGGCGCGCCUUUUCAGGUAAGUGACGUUGCGACACCGUAUCGGCGGGGAAUUCGGAGCGUCCGGCCUGUGAGGAGGGAAAGGACCGUUAGACGGCGCAUUUAUGGGGGGUGUUACCUCAUUAAUCGGAUCCAUCCGUUGGCGGAUUGCGGCCUAUAAAUGCGUCGUGGCGCCGUCGCCGUUCCUCUUCCUUCCGCCCUCUCACUCCCAUUCUCUUGUUGCCUUUGCCUCCUUGCUGUCUCAGCUCUCUCGCCGUCUUACGCGCACACGCCUCCUCGUGCAGCAGCGGAUCCACCGCCUCUUCGGCCAAGAUGCCUG
This 458-nucleotide long non-coding RNA is filed under the name Sorghum bicolor (sorghum). RNAcentral describes it as "long non-coding RNA (SBIC_LNC009090)". The record is from RNAcentral. Lineage: Eukaryota; Viridiplantae; Streptophyta; Magnoliopsida; Poales; Poaceae.